RNAcentral lists this small RNA (127 nucleotides) under Marmota monax (woodchuck). The record is from RNAcentral. Lineage: Eukaryota; Metazoa; Chordata; Mammalia; Rodentia; Sciuridae.
GCUGGGCAUGGUGGUGCAUGCCUGUAAUCCUAGCACCUCAGGAGGCUGAGGCAGGAGGAUCUCGAGUUCAAAGCCAGCCUCAGCAACUUAGUGAAGCCCUAAGUAACUCUGUGAGAUCUUGUCUCUA